RNAcentral lists this long non-coding RNA (5079 nucleotides) under Homo sapiens (human). RNAcentral describes it as "non-protein coding lnc-ADAM21-5:1". The record is from RNAcentral. Lineage: Eukaryota; Metazoa; Chordata; Mammalia; Primates; Hominidae.
AAAGUAUAAUAAAAAAAUAAAUAAAUAAAAAUAAAUAAAAAUAAAAAUAAAAAAUAAAAAAAUACUUUCUUUCUUCUAGCGUUUACUCUAAGCAGUUGAUAGAAGCCAUACAGAUUAUUAAUAUUUUGCUUAGAUAUUUCUAUGGCCAGAUGUCUAUAUAUAUAUAUAUGUAUUAUGUAUUACUUUUAUUUUAUUUGGUUGUUUUUUAUAUAUGUGUUUAUAUAUGUGUGUGUGUGUGUGUAUGUGUGUAUGUAUAUAUAUAACAGAAAUAUCUAAGCAAAAUAUUAAUAAAAUAUUUUUGUCUAUAUAUUCAUGUGUACAUAUAUACCAUAUAUAUGUAGUCUAUCUAUCUAUCAUCUAUCUAUCAUUUGAUUGUUUGUUUUUGUAGAGACAAAGUCUCACUAUAUUGCUCAGGCUGGUCUUGAACUCCUGGCUCAAGCAAUUCUUCUGCCUCAGCCUCCUAAAGUGCUGGGAUUAUAAGCAUGAGCCACCAUGCCUGGUCAGUGCAUUGCUUCAUUGCUUUUUAAUUAUUUUUCCCACAACGUCCUCUGUCAUGAGGAUAAUUCAGCCAAGUUUAUUGCCACUUUAUAACAAGGAUGACCUUACCUUCAGUUUCUAAUAAGAUAUUCCUCAUUUCCAUCUGAGACCUCAUCAGAAAGGCCUUCAUUGUCCAUAUUUCUGCCAAUAUUCUGUUCACAAGCUCUUAAUCUUUAAGACUUAGGCGAGAGAUAAGCAGGAACAAACCAAACUCAAAAUUGGCAAAAUUGGCAAUCUAAAAAGGAAAUAAUAAAGCUCAGAGAAGAAAUAAACAAAAAAAGACUAAAAUAAAGAUCAAUGAAAUGAAGAGCUGGUUUAAAAAACAAAAUCCACAAGCCUUUAUCUAGACUAAGAAAAAAAGAGAGAGAAGGCUGAAAUAAAUAAAAUGCAGAUGAAAAGGAGAUGUUACAACUGAUAGUACAGGAAUAUAAAGGGUCAUAAGAGACUAUUAUGACAACAAAUUUCAUAACACAGAAGAAAGGGAUCAAUUCCUGGACAGAUAUAACCUACCAACAUUAAAUUAUGAAGAAAUAGAAAAUUUGAACAGGCCAGUGAUGAGUGAGGAAAUUGAAUCAGUAAUACAUGAGCGAGGAAACUGAAUCAGUAAUAAAAAGUCUUUCAUCAAAGAAAAGCUCAGGAACUAAUGGCUUCAGUGCUGAAUUCUACAAACAUUUGAAGAGCUAAUGCCUAUUCUCCUCAAACUAUUCCAGAAAAACUGAAAAGGAAUGAGUAUUGCCAAACUAGUUUUACCAGGCCACUACUGCCCUGAUUCCAAAACCAAACAACACAGCAACAACAACAAAAACAACAGGCCAACAAAAACUCCUUGAUGAAUGUACAUGCAAAAAUUCUUAGUAAGGUGUUAGCAAUCCAAAUCCAACAGCAUAUUAAGAAGACUAUUCAAUAUGAUCAAGUGGGAUUAAUGCCAGUGAUGCAAGAUGAUUUAGCAUACACAAAUCAACAAAUGCACUACACCACGUUACAAGAAAGAGUGACAGAAACCAUGUGAUAUUUUAAUAGAUGCAGAAAAUAAUUUGACAAGAUUCAACAUCCUUUCAUGACAAAAUUUCUCAACGAAUUAGGUAUAGAGUUAUGCACCUAAACGCAAUAAAGACCAUAUAUGACAAACUCCCAGCUAACAUCAUAGUGAAAAGGGAAAAGCUCAGGAACCAAAUAAGAAGGCCCACUUUCAAUAUUUUACUGGAAGUCCUAGCCAGAUCAAUUAGGUAAGAGAAAGAAGUAAAAGGCAUCCAAAUUGGAAAAGAGGAAGUCAAAUUGGUCCUGUUUGCAGAUGACUUCAUCUUGUAUAGAGAAAACCCUAAAGACUCCACCAAAAAACCUCUAGAAAUAAUAAACAAAUUCAAUUAAAAGUUACAGGCUACAAAAUCAACAUAAAAAUUAUUACCAUUUCAAUAUGCUAAUAGUGAACUAUCUUAAAAAGAAAUCAAGAAAACAAUUUUAUUUACAAUCGCAACAACAACUACAACAACAGCAAACUCCUAGGAAUAAACAUAACCAUGCAGGUGAAAGAUUUCUACACUGAAAACUAUAAAACUUUGAUGAAAGAAACUGAAGAGGAUACAAAUAAGUAGAAGUGUUCAUAGAUUGGAAGAAUUUAUGUUUUUAAAAUGGCCAUACUACCCAAAGCAAUGAGAUUUAAUACAAUCCCUAUCAAAAUACCAAUGACAUUCUUCACAGAUAAAGAAAAAACAAACCAUAAAAUUUAUGUGAAAUCAUAAAAGAUUCCAUUGGAGUGUGAAGCUGGAGGCCUCACACUACCUGGCUUGAAAAUAUAUUACAAAGCUAUUGUAACCAAAACAUCAUGGUAGUGACAUAGAAACUGAUCCAUAGACCAAUAGAAUAGAAUGUAAAACCCAGAAACAAAUCAACAACCCUGAUCCUUGACAAAGGUGCCAAGGACACACAUUGGAGAAAAGACAGUCUCUUUAAUAAAUGAUGCUAGCAAAAUUGGAUAUUCUAUGCAGAAGAAUGAGACCAGAUCCCUAACUCUCACCGUAUACAAAAAUUAACUUAAAAUGGAUUAAAAUCUUAAAUAUAAAACACAAAAACUAUGAAACUAGUAGAAGAAAACAUAAAGAAAAUCCUUCCCAAUAUUGGGCUGAAUUUUUCAAGAAUUUGGAAAAAUAAGACCUCAAAAGCACAGGCAAAAAAAGCAAAGAUACACAAACAGGAUUAUAUCAAACUAAAAUACUUUUGCACUGCAAAAUAAACUAUUAACAGAGUGAGGAGACAACCUGCAGAAUGUAAAAAAAUUUUAAGACUAUUUAUCUGACAAGAGGUUAAUAUACAGAAUAUAUAAAGAACUUAAACAAUUCAACAGCUAAAAACCAAAUACUUCAACCUAAUAAUGGGCAAAAAGACCUGAAUCGACAUUUUUAAAAAGAAGAUAUACAAAUGGUCAAUAGGUAUAUGAAAAAAUGCUCAACAUCACUAAUCAUCAGAGAAAUGCAAAUCAAAACCAAAGGAGAUAACACCUCACUUCAGCUAGGAUGGCUAUUAUCAAAAAGAUUUUUUAAAAAUGCUGGCAAGGAUAGAGAGAAAGAAUACUCAUAUGCUGUUGGUGGGAAUGUAAAGUAGUACAGCCAUUAUGGAAAACAGUAUGGAGGUUCCUCAGAAAAAAGUAAAAAUAGAACUACCAUAUGACCUCACAGUCCCACUGCUGAGUUUAUACCCAGAAUAAAGGAAAUCAAUAUGUUGAAGAGAUAUAUGCACUCUCAUGUUUAUUGCAGCACUAUUCACAAUAGCCAAGAUAUGAAACAUAUCUAAGUGUCCAUCAAUGGAUGAAUGGAUAUUGAAAAUGUGGUAUAUAUACACAAUGGGACACUAUUCAGCCAUAAAAACAAAUGAAAUCCUACGAUUUGAGACAACAUGAAUGAACCUGGAGGAGAUCAUGAUACAUGAAAUAAGCCAGACACAGAAAAGACAAGCACUGCAUGAUCUCACUCAUACAUGGAAUCUAUUUUUUUUAAGCUGAUAUCACAGAAGCAAAGAAUAGAACAGUGGUUACCAAAGACUUCAGAUAGAGGAAAAGAGGAGGAUAGGAGAAGUUGGUCAAUGGGUACGAAGUUACAAUUAGAUAGAAGGAGUAAAUUCUGGUGUUCUAUUGCACAGUAUCAUGACUAUGGUUGACAUUAAAAUAUUGUAUAUUACAAAAUAGCUAGAAGAGAGGCUUUUGAAGGUUCUCACCUUAAGGAAUGUAAAUGCAUGAGGUGAUACAUACACUGACUACCCAGAUUGGAUCAUUAUACAACAUAGAUAUGUAUCAAAACAUUAAAUUGUACCCCAUACAUAUAUACAAUUACAACAUUUCAAUUAAAUAAAUAAAUAACUUUUUAAAAGAACUUUAAAACUUCUGGAAACUAAUAUAGGAGAAAACGUAUAUGACUUUGGAUUUGGCAAUGUUUUAUAUACCAUACAAAAAGCAUGAAUGUUCCUUGAAUGAACAAAAUGAUCAGUUGGACUUUUUUAAAAUGAAAAACUUCAGUUCUGUAAAAAGCACUGUUAAGAGAAUGGAAAGACAAGCCAUGAACUGGAAGGAAAUAUUUGCAAAGCACAUAUCUGAUGAAACAUUUGUAUCCAAAAUAUAGAUAGAACUCUUAAAACUCAACAGUAAGAAAAAACAACCCAUUAAGUAAUAAGCAAAAAAUCUGAACAUAUACUUCACCAAAGAAGAUAUACAGAUAACAAAUAAGCAUAUUUAUGGAUGCUCAACAUCACAUGUCAUUAGGGAAUUGCAAAUUAAAACCACAAGGAGAUACCACCACACAUAAUCUAUUAGAAUGGCUACAAUCUAAAACACCAACAACAGGAAAUGAUGGUAGGGUUGUGGAGCAACAGAAACUCUCUCCUUCAUUGCUGGUGGGAAUGCAAAAUGAUACAGCCAAUUUGGAAGGCAUUUUGGCAGUUUCUUACUAAGCUAAACAUUGUCUUACCAUAUAAUCCAGUUAUCACACUCCUAGGUAUUUACACAAAUGUAUUGAAAACUUAUGUCCACAAAAAUCUGUGUACAUAUAUCUAUAGCCGAUUUACUCAUAAUUGAUAAAAAUUGAAAGCAACAAAGAUAUCCUUGAAUAGGUGUAAUGCUGACAUACUUUUAUGUUUCCAAUGUUGUAAAAGGUGAUACUAUAGAGAUUAAAAAUAUCAGUGGCUUCCAGAGUUGGCGGGGCAGUGUUAAAGAGAUGGAAUGAAUAGCUGGCAUACACGGGAUUUUUAUGGAGUGAAACUAUUCUGUAUUGUGCUGCAAUGGUAGAUACAUGACAUGUGUUUUUCAAAUCCAUAGAAAUGUACAACACAAAGGGUGAACCUCAAUGUAAACUAUGAAUUGAGUUAGUAACAAUGUAUUGAUAUUGAUUCAUCAAUUGUAUCAACUGUACCUACCAAUGCAAGAUGUUAAUAAUAGGGGAGAAUGUGGGUAGGGGAGACAGGAAGUAAAUGGAAGCUUCCUGUACUUUCUAUUCAGUUUUUCUGUAAGCCUAAUAAUGUUCCAAAAAAUAAAGUAUAUUAAUUUUAAAAAUUAAAAAA